CAAACCUGACAGAAUUUUUUAUGGAAUAAUGUAUGUUUUAAUUUUGUUGUGAACUGUGCUCUUUUUCUAGGCCUUCAUUCACAGCAGAGUACUCAGCCUUUUAUCAGAAAUGGGAGUCAGCCAGUACACCAGAAGCAGCAGAAGAAUCUAAUGAUUCAGAAUAUAAAGUUUUAAGAAGUUUCUCUAAUGAGAUGCUGCAUUCUAAACAGAAAGCAGUAGAACAUAAAGCAUGCUGCAGGAAACGACAAAACAAGAACCCAGACGAGCAGCUUCUUGACCUUUUGCUGGGCUCUUUGGCUUCCUGCAGCCGACAGAGAUUACGAGCUUUGAAAAUGGGAAUGGAGCAUCUUGCUGACCUGGACACACGCUCAAUUUCUGUUUUUAAUU
This is a long non-coding RNA of Erpetoichthys calabaricus (reedfish), 387 nucleotides long. RefSeq lists it as uncharacterized. NCBI's taxonomy places the organism in Eukaryota, Metazoa, Chordata, Cladistia, Polypteriformes, Polypteridae. The transcript has 3 exons. The record is from RefSeq and is a predicted model, not a curated record.